RNAcentral lists this unclassified non-coding RNA (219 nucleotides) under Hevea brasiliensis (rubber tree). The record is from RNAcentral. Lineage: Eukaryota; Viridiplantae; Streptophyta; Magnoliopsida; Malpighiales; Euphorbiaceae.
AAAUCCCUCAUUCAGCCACAAAUGUGUCCACCACUCCAUAGUUACAAGGUUGCCAAACCAUUGGUGUGCAAGUUCAUGAGCCACAACAGUUGCCACCCUCUGUUUGUUAGCAGCUGCAGAGUGUUGAUCAUCAUAAAGUAAAGCAGUCUCACGAUAGGUAACUAAACCAUAGUUUUCCAUGGCCCCAGCAGCAAAGUCAGGAAUUGCAAUCAUGUCCAG